Lates calcarifer (barramundi perch) is the source of this 1967-nucleotide long non-coding RNA. RefSeq lists it as uncharacterized. The transcript is spliced from 5 exons. The record is from RefSeq and is a predicted model, not a curated record. Lineage: Eukaryota; Metazoa; Chordata; Actinopteri; Centropomidae.
CUGGACAUUAGGUGAAUUACACCCAACAAACUCCUGACCUCUUUGUGUCCACUGAUUGGAGGGAAACACCAAACACCUGAGUCAACCAGGAAGUAGCUCCUGCAAUUCCCUCCACACACUCCUGUCCUCACGCCUCAGUUUCACAGCCACAGUUUGUUUUUAUAUCUUUAACUGGGAAUCUUUAACUCCCCCUCAGCUCCCAGUUUAUCUCACUUCAGAAUGAACCAGACUUCUUUAUCUAUCUGGGAUCUAUCCUCUGUGAUCCACCUGUUGGACUGAAUCAAACAAGGACACAUGGAGCCAACAGAAGGACCAGAGCAUGGAACAGAGAGAAUCUAAAACACAAGGAUCCAGAUGAUACUGGCAGUUUGGGGGAGGACUGUGCACUGCCUUGCACACAUUCAUUGACCUUUGUGGUGUCACCACAUCGCCCACGACAUCAUCCACAAUCACAGAUGACGUCGUCCACCAUCGCCUAGACAUGGUCCAUGAUUGGAGCGUUCCCUGAUUGUCGAUGACAUUGUCGAUGAUCACAGAGAGACCAUCUAUGACCUCAGAGACAUCAUCCCCAAUCACAAAGACAUUGUGCAUGAUCGCAGAGACAUUAUCCAUAAUCUCAGACACGUAGUCCAUGAUUACAGAGACACAGUCCAAGAUCAGAGUGUCUAUAUACAAUGAAGAAGUUCUUUAAGAUCAGGACUGAGACCUCCAGGUAAUUCACAAACAGCUUUACAUGAACUAACACAGAGCACUGACAUCAAGUUCUUUAUGAUCAGUUUUCAGUAUAUCAAAAAAUUGUAAGUAAUCUGCAAUUUAAAAAUAAUGUAAAUAUAAUCUGUAUUAAUAGAAGUAAUAUAAAAGUAAUAUUAGAAUUAAGAGGUAACAGUCAAAGCAAUCUGUUUUUGGUUGUACUUCACAACAGUAAAAGGUAAUUGUAAAUUUAGAAUAUGUAAUGAGAAAAGCAUUAUGUAAUAGGAAAAGUCAUCUAAUAUUGUGUAACAAUAAAAUUAAUCUGUAAUAUAAAGGCAAGGCCGAAUAGGAAUUCAAAAUAGAAGUCAAAAUGUCACAGUAUAGUAAGGCGUCAAAAAUAGUCAAAAAAUGUCAAAAAAUGUCAUAGUAUAGUAAGCCAUGAAAAAAGGUCAAAAAAUGUCAAAAUUGGUCAAAAAAUGUCAAAAAAUGUCAUAGUAUAGUAAGGCGUCAAAAAAUGUGAAAAAGUGUCAAAAAAUGUCAUAGUAUAGUAAGGGGUCAAAAACAACCAAAAAAUGUCAUAGUAUAGCAUGGUGUCAAAAUAGGUCAAAAAAUGUCAUAGUAUAGUAAGGGGUCAAAAAUGUCAUAAAAAUUUCAUAGUAUAGUAAGGCAUCAAAAAAUGUGAAAAAAUGUCAUAGUAUAGUAAGAGGUCAAAAAUGGUCAAAAAAAUGUCAUAGUAUAGUAAGGUAUCAAAAAUGGUCAAAAAGUGUCAAAAAAUGUCAUAGUAUAGUAAGGAGUCAAAAAUGGUCAAAAAAUGUCAAAAAAUGUCAUAGUAUAGUAAGGGGUCAAAAAUGUCAUAAAAAUGUCAUAGUAUAGUAAGGAGUCAAAAAUGGUCAAAAAAUGUCAAAAAAUGUCAUAGUAUAGUAAGGGGUCAAAAAUGUCAUAAAAAUGUCAUAGUAUAGUAAGGUAUCAAAAAUGGUCAAAAAGUGUCAAAAAAUGUCAUAGUAUAGUGUGGUGUUAAAAAUUGGUCAAAAAAUGUCAUAGUAUAGUGUGGUGUUAAAAAUUGGUCAAAAAAUGUCAUAGUAUAGUAAGGAGUCAAAAAGUGUCAAAAAAUGUCAUAGUAUAGUAACGAGUCAAAAAUGGUCAAAAAAUGUGAAAAAAUGUCACAGUAUAGUAAGGAGUCAAAAUUGGUCAAAAAAUGUCAUAGUAUAGUAAGGAAUCAAAAAGUGUCAAAAAAUGUCAUAGUAUAGUAAGGAGUCAAAAAUGGUCAAAAAUUGUCA